Long non-coding RNA from Salmo salar (Atlantic salmon), 1995 nucleotides. RefSeq lists it as uncharacterized. Lineage: Eukaryota; Metazoa; Chordata; Actinopteri; Salmoniformes; Salmonidae. The record is from RefSeq and is a predicted model, not a curated record.
AUGGCAACUUCAACAGCAACGUUUGUACCGUGUAAAGCUAGCUAGUUGUCUAUGAAACGCUAACGUAAUGUAUCAAACGAAUAAUGGUUUUUAGAAUAUGUUUUAAGAAAGCAAACAGGCAAAAUUUUAAGAAAUGUAAUUCUGCAUUUAACAUACCGGUAGAAGUUAUGUAUUAAUAUCUUGUGGGAUGAGGGUAAGUUGUCUAGCUAACGCGAACGUUAGUAACGCGUCGCUAGCAAGGCACGUCCGUUUACAAACGUGUAUAGCCAGCUGUUCGACUUUGAUAGCUAGCUAGUUACUAAAAUGAUACGAUGUGUGAAAUCGCUGAAGUUACGUUACUAGCUUGGGUUCCUUUCUUUGCUAGCUAGCUAAAGUUAACAAGAUUGUAUGCCAGCCAUGGCCAAUCCUGACUUAACUAACGCGUUAGCUACUGUAGCUAGUUAGAUAUUUAGCUUGGUACCGUUAACGUUACUUCUUCUCUGCUGGUUUCAUCCACCAAACAGCCGACAGAAAUGGGAGCCCCUUAAACGCGCCAGGAGCAAGAAGGAGAUAGAGUGGAAAUUAUAAUGGUGUUGCCUGUGUGGGGCCUCACACUCCCUCUUCCGGCUGUACUGAUGAUUGUUGUUGGUCUUUACAUGAUUUUCCUUGCAAUGGCGCUAUGGUUCCGCCAGUGCCUCAAGGAACAGUGUUCUCCUGGGUGUGGUGACUGCUGUCCAAAUAUCGCCCCAUUCGAUUACUGUUUAGCAUGUGCAGAGUCGUGCAACUGUCGUAUGCCAUCACUGCGCUCGUGCCUUGACCAGACCUGCCCCUCAACCUGCCCCUCUCUUCCUAAUUGUAACAUGUGGGACUGUGCUUGCACCUGCCAACCCCCAGAAUGUGAGUCCUUCAACUGCCUCUGCUUCGAGAUCAAGUUCAGAUAGAGGGAGAAAUGGAGGAGUGGUAGGAUGAAUGAUGAAUCCUAACUCAAGACGCACAGCAUGUUUGCAUAUUCACACAUUGAUGUUAAUGGACAAUUUGUGCAAGAGGAAGGAGUUAUCCAUUCAUCCCUAGAGAAAUGGAAAGGGAAGACGGGGGGUGGAUUGCUGUGUUUAUGUACCAAUAUGAAAAUACAAUCUGAAUCCUUCUAACACACAGCCUUAAAGUGAAAGGCUACAACCAGUUUAUGGAUAGUUGUGCCAUAUGUGUCCAAGGGAGAGCAACAUUAUCAUAGUGCUAUUAUAAUAUAGGGCAUCUACUUUCAUUACAGCACAAGUACAAUUCUGUGCCUCUGCAGCAAUCCAAUACAUUCAUUGUACAAAACAUUAAGCUCACCUGCCUAAUAUCGAGUUGCACCCCCCUCCUCCCCUUUUGCCCUCAGAAAAACCUAAAUUCGUCAGGGCAUGGUCUCUAUAUGGUGUCAAAAUCGUUCCACAGGGAUGCUGGCCCAUGUUGACUCCAAUGCUUCCCACAGAUUGUGUCAAGUUGGCUGGAUGUCCUUUGGGUGGUGGACCAUUCUUGAUACACACGGAAAACUGUUGAGCGUGAAAACCCCAGCAGCGUUAGACUUCUUGACACAAACUGGUGCGCCUAGCAUCUACUACCAUACCCCGUUCAAAGGUACUUCAAUCUUUCGUCUUGCCCAUUUACCCUCUGAAUGGCACACACAAUUAACGUCUCAAGGCUUAAAAAUCCUUCUUCAACCUGUCUCCUCCCCUUGAUCUACACUGAUUGAAGUGGAUUUAACAAGUGACAUCAAUAAGUGAUCAUAGCUUUCACCUGGAUUCACCUGGUCAGUUUAUGUCAUGGAAAGAGCAGGUGUCCUUAAUGUUUUGUACACUUGUAGCUGAUGUAAUACUUCCAUGAUGGUUUUAACUAUUCCUUAAUCAGUUAUUUUUAUCACAUUUACACUCAAGUUUUUACACAUUACAUAUGUAUAUACUGUAGCUUUGACGCUGUGGACUUGUACUUUUUAAGCUAUUGACCCAUGUCAAUUAAAGAUGACUAUUUUUAAACUUA